Molecule: non-coding RNA, 30 nt
Filed under: Mus musculus (house mouse)
Lineage: Eukaryota; Metazoa; Chordata; Mammalia; Rodentia; Muridae
Source: RNAcentral
UGAGAUAUCCUGGAACUAAUCUAGCUACGU